CGUCAGCUCGUGUCGUGAGAUGUUGGGUUAAGUCCCGCAACGAGCGCAACCCCUAUUGUUAGUUGCUACGCAAGAGCACUCUAGCGAGACUGCGUUGACAAAACGGAGGAAGGUGGGGACGACGUCAAAUCAUCAUGCCCCUUAUAUCCUGGGCUACACACGUAAUACAAUGGCGGUCAACAGAGGGAAGCAAAGCCGCGAGGCAGAGCAAACCCCCAAAAGCCGUCCCAGUUCGGAUUGUAGGCUGCAACUCGCCUGCA
This 260-nucleotide ribosomal RNA is filed under the name uncultured bacterium. RNAcentral describes it as "partial 16S ribosomal RNA". It matches the Rfam family "Bacterial small subunit ribosomal RNA", at positions 1053 to 1320 of the family's 1533-position model. The record is from RNAcentral.